This 346-nucleotide ribosomal RNA is filed under the name uncultured bacterium. Its description in RNAcentral is "partial 16S ribosomal RNA". It matches the Rfam family "Bacterial small subunit ribosomal RNA", at positions 338 to 676 of the family's 1533-position model. The record is from RNAcentral.
CCUACGGGUGGCUGCAGUGGGGCAUAUUGCGCAAUGGGCGAAAGCCUGACGCAGCGACGCCGCGUGCGGGAUGAAGGUCUUCGGAUCGUAAACCUCUGUCAGCAGGGAAGAACGGUCACUGUGCUAAUCAGCAGUGAAUUGACGGUACCUGCAAAUGAAGCACCGGCUAACUCCGUGCCAGCAGCCGCGGUAAUACGGAGGGUGCGAGCGUUAAUCGGAAUUACUGGGCGUAAAGCGCCCGUAGGCGGUAUGUCAAGUCAAGGGUGAAAUCCCCGCGCUCAACGUGGGAACUGCCUCUGAUACUGGCAAGCUGGAGUGUGAGAGAGGGGAGUAGAAUUCCAGGUGU